GAUGAACGCUGGCUACAGGCUUAACACAUGCAGGUCGAGGGGAAACGACGGGGAAGCUUGCUUCCCCGGGCGUCGACCGGCGCACGGGUGAGUAACGCGUAUCCAACCUGCCUCUGACUGAGGGAUAACCCGUCGAAAGUCGGCCUAAUACCUCAUGGUAUCGUCUGCGGGCAUCCAACGACGAUUAAAGAUUUCAUCGGUCAGGGAUGGGGAUGCGUCUGAUUAGCUUGUUGGCGGGGUAACGGCCCACCAAGGCUACGAUCAGUAGGGGUUCUGAGAGGAAGGUCCCCCACAUUGGAACGGAGACACGGUCCAAACUCCUACGGGAGGCAGCAGUGAGGAAUAGUGGUCAAUGGGCGAGAGCCUGAACCAGCCAAGUAGCGUGCAGGAAGACGGCCCUAUGGGUUGUAAACUGCUUUUAUGCGGGGAUAAAGUGAGGGACGUGUCCCUCAUUGCAGGUACCGCAUGAAUAAGGACCGGCUAAUUCCGUG
RNAcentral lists this ribosomal RNA (491 nucleotides) under uncultured bacterium. RNAcentral's name for it is "partial 16S ribosomal RNA". It matches the Rfam family "Bacterial small subunit ribosomal RNA", at positions 28 to 507 of the family's 1533-position model. The record is from RNAcentral.